Molecule: ribosomal RNA, 253 nt
Filed under: uncultured bacterium
Lineage: Bacteria
Description: partial 16S ribosomal RNA
Rfam family: Bacterial small subunit ribosomal RNA
Source: RNAcentral
UACGUAGGGUGCAAGCGUUAUCCGGAAUUAUUGGGCGUAAAGGGCGCGUAGGCGGCCUGACAAGUGGAAGGUGAAAUCCCUCGGCUUAACCGAGGAACUGCCUUCCAAACUGUUUGGCUUGAGUCCGGGAGAGGCGAGUGGAAUUCCCAGUGUAGCGGUGAAAUGCGUAGAUAUUGGGAGGAACACCAGUGGCGAAGGCGGCUCGCUGGACCGGAACUGACGCUGAGGCGCGAAAGCGUGGGGAGCAAACAGG